UGGGGAAUAUUGCACAAUGGGGGAAACCCUGAUGCAGCCAUGCCGCGUGUGUGAAGAAGUCCUUCGGGUUGGAAAGCACUUUCAGUGGUGAGGAAGGCCACAAGGUUAAUACCCUUGUGGAUUGACGUUAUCCACAGAAGAAGCACCGGCUAACUCCGUGCCAGCAGCCGCGGUAAUACGGAGGGUGCAAGCGUUAAUCGGAAUUACUGGGCGUAAAGCGAACGCAGGCGGUUUGUUAAGCGAGAUGUGAAAGCCCCGGGCUCAACCUGGGAACCGCAUUUCGAACUGGCAAACUAGAGUCUUGGAGAGGGGGGUAGAAUUUCCGGUGUAGCGGUGAAAUGCGUAGAGAUCGGAAGGAAUACCAGUGGCGAAGGCGGCCCCCUGGCCAAAGACUGACGCUCAGGUGCGAAAGCGUGGGGAGCAA
Molecule: ribosomal RNA, 424 nt
Filed under: uncultured bacterium
Lineage: Bacteria
Description: bacterial SSU rRNA
Rfam family: Bacterial small subunit ribosomal RNA
Source: RNAcentral